RNAcentral lists this ribosomal RNA (532 nucleotides) under Tithaeus sp. As131. Its description in RNAcentral is "partial 28S large subunit ribosomal RNA". It matches the Rfam family "Eukaryotic large subunit ribosomal RNA", at positions 666 to 1148 of the family's 3401-position model. Lineage: Eukaryota; Metazoa; Arthropoda; Arachnida; Opiliones; Tithaeidae. The record is from RNAcentral.
CCAAGGAGUUUGACGUGCGCGCGAGUCGUCGGGUCUUGCACAGGCCCGAAGGCGAAAGCGAAAGCAAUUUGGGAGCUUGCACACGCACCUCCAGAUGGGAUCCGGGCGUCCUCCGCGGCCCCGGCGCACCAUCGGCUCGUCCGCGCCGCCUCGUCGGCCGGGCGGAGUUUGAGCGCGCACGUCGAUACCCGAAAGAUGGUGAACUAUGGCUGGGCAGGACGAAGCCAGAGGAAACUCUGGUGGAGGUCUGCAGCGGUUCUGACGUGCAAAUCGAUCGUCAGACCUGGCUAUAGGGGCGAAAGACUAAUCGAACCAUCUAGUAGCUGGUUCCCUCCGAAGUUUCCCUCAGGAUAGCUGGCGCUCGAGGAGGGAGCAGUCACAUCCGAUAAAGCGAAUGAUUAGAGGCCUUGGGGCCGAAAAGACCUCAACCUAUUCUCAAACUUUAAAUGGGUGCGAAGUCCGGAUUUAACGAGCGAAGACCGGACAGUUCUCUUGGAUGCGAGUGCCCAGUGGGCCACUUUUGGUAAGCAAC